Molecule: ribosomal RNA, 301 nt
Filed under: uncultured bacterium
Lineage: Bacteria
Description: partial 16S ribosomal RNA
Rfam family: Bacterial small subunit ribosomal RNA
Source: RNAcentral
CAGCAGCCACGGUAAUACGUAGGGUGCAAGCGUUGUCCGGAAUUAUUGGGCGUAAAGAGCUCGUAGGCGGUUUGUCGCGUCUGCUGUGAAAACGCGAGGCUCAACCUCGCGCCUGCAGUGGGUACGGGCAGACUAGAGUGCGGUAGGGGAGAUUGGAAUUCCUGGUGUAGCGGUGGAAUGCGCAGAUAUCAGGAGGAACACCGAUGGCGAAGGCAGAUCUCUGGGCCGUAACUGACGCUGAGGAGCGAAAGCGUGGGGAGCGAACAGGAUUAGAUACCCCCGUAGUCCCUGUCUCUUAUAC